This 90-nucleotide transfer RNA is filed under the name Annulohypoxylon bovei var. microspora. Its description in RNAcentral is "tRNA-Pro". Lineage: Eukaryota; Fungi; Ascomycota; Sordariomycetes; Xylariales; Hypoxylaceae. The record is from RNAcentral.
GGUCUGGUGGUCUAGUGGUAUGAUUCGCGCUUAGGGAGAACCUACAGCAUCGCUUGCGCGAGGUCCCGGGUUCAAUCCCCGGCCAGACCC